GGGAGCUUUAAACGCUAAUUAGGAUGACUUUGGGAGACCAAACAAGCGUGGAGGAUUGAGGAUGGGUCAGGUCUGAAGAAGAACGGCGGCGGGGAUCAGGCGUCUGUGAUCAACUCAAAAAAAAAAAAACUGUAAACUUCUCAUUCGUCCAAAACGGAAAAUGUGAAGAACUUUUUAGUCAACUGAAUCAACAAGGGGUCUCAAGGGGUCUCCUUGGAAAUAAAACCUCUGUGGGUUUCCAACUGCGCUUUAGUGUCAGCAGGGUCGAUUGGUUAUGAAUCUUCUGACCUUCUUGUAUCAGACAGAUUUCCAGCUUUCAAGCUCUUCCGGGAAUGGCCGUGUGGAGGAAAAGUUGGCUUGUGAGCUUUUGUCUCCAGAUAUGCGCCUCCGUUGCGUCGUCCAAUGAAACACGCUGGAAAUGGCAACGAAAGUUUAUUUUCUGCGGGUUUUAUAAUCCCUGGUGACGUCAGAGCUGCGACGUCUGUAGUUCUGCACAUGUUGAACUGCGCAGCCAGCGCUCUAUUCCCCCAAAAUGGAUAACCCCAACAUCUGAAAAACAUCUGAAAAAAAAAACAGUAAAAUGCCAAAGAUGUUUUAUAGUGCUUUUGUGGAGUGUUUUAACUAGUUACAUGCUGGUUUGGUGGCAUAACUGAACCAAAAAAUUACAAACCAAGGAAAAUAGUGACCACUGUCAGAAAGCUGCUAGAUAUUAGUUUGGAUAACUUGGUACACAUCUAUAAGCAGGGAUCUCUUAACAAAGUAAAAAAAUAUUCUUGUUGAUCAGAAGCAUCCACUCCUUACUGCUUUUAAACUGUUGUAAUCAGGUAGCUUCCAGCCCUUAUAAAAAAAAUAGAAAGAAAGUAUUUUGUACUGAAAGCAAUUGGCUUCUUAAACACAUGUUGAAGCAAUAGUUUUUUUUCAGCAGGUCUGAACUGGUAGAACUUUGUUUCUUUUUUGAGAACAUGUUUUAAUCAAUUAUGUAUUUAAUGUAUCUUUAGAAAUUUGAUUACACUAUUGCGUAAAUAAGUAUCAUUCAUGGAAGCCAUGGGCUGCAGAGGAUGGUGGUGGUGUUGUUUAUCCUGGCGUUACAUUGUUUGCGGUUGUUUGGAGAUUGAGUGUCUUAAUUAUUUUUAUUUUCUUAUAAGUCGACAUAAAUGGCAUUCACUCACUGAACAAAUUUUCCCUAUUGGGACAAUAAAGUACUUAUUCAUGUAGGUCUGAGCCACCUGCAGUCUCCCCCUGCAGUGCUGUGGAAAGUUUUCUUCUGUUUAUUAUCAGAUUUAUUGUAAGUUAGAGAGAUGCACUUUUAUAACACUCUAAAAGCUGAUUGAAAUUCUGUUUAAGUUUUUUUUCCCCAAUGCUGUAAACUGACCAAUGAGAUAAUGUUGAGAUGAAGAUACUUUUAUACGGUGAGCUGGACUGGCCCAACUUUGAGGUGAAGCAGGAGCAGACAAAAAAAAAAAAUAUAUAUAUAUAUUUAUAAUAUGUUUUGUUUGAUGGUUAAAAAAAAGGAAUAAAAUGAACAUUAAAAGAA
This is a long non-coding RNA of Girardinichthys multiradiatus, 1534 nucleotides long. RefSeq lists it as uncharacterized. The record is from RefSeq and is a predicted model, not a curated record. The transcript is spliced from 2 exons. Lineage: Eukaryota; Metazoa; Chordata; Actinopteri; Cyprinodontiformes; Goodeidae.